This 269-nucleotide ribosomal RNA is filed under the name uncultured fungus. Its description in RNAcentral is "partial 28S large subunit ribosomal RNA". It matches the Rfam family "Eukaryotic large subunit ribosomal RNA", at positions 1 to 263 of the family's 3401-position model. Lineage: Eukaryota; Fungi. The record is from RNAcentral.
UACCUCAAAUCAGGUAGGACUACCCCCUGAACUUAACCAUAUCAUUAAGCGGAGGAAAAAAAACAAACAAGGAUUCCCCUCUUAACUGCGAGUGAAGCGGGAAAAACUCAAAUUUUUAAUCUGGUGGCNCUUGGCCNCCCCAGUUGUANUCUANAAAAGUGUUACCCCUGCUGGACCGUGUACAAGUCUCCUGGAAUGGGGCGUCAUAAAGGGGGAGAAUCCCCUCUUUUACACGNACAACCACUGCACUGUGGGAGUGCUCCCCAAAA